This 253-nucleotide ribosomal RNA is filed under the name uncultured bacterium. RNAcentral describes it as "partial 16S ribosomal RNA". It matches the Rfam family "Bacterial small subunit ribosomal RNA", at positions 524 to 776 of the family's 1533-position model. The record is from RNAcentral.
UACGGAGGGUGCGAGCGUUGUCCGGAAUCAUUGGGCGUAAGAGCUCGUAGGCGGUCUGUCGCGUCUGCUGUGAAAAUCCAGGGCUCAACCCUGGACCUGCAGUGGGUACGGGCAGACUAGAGUGCGGUAGGGGAGAUCGGAAUUCCUGGUGUAGCGGUGAAAUGCGCAGAAUAUCAGGAGGAACACCGGUGGCGAAGGCGGAUCUCUGGGCCGUAACUGACGCUGACGGAGCGAAGCAUGGGGAGCGAACAGG